CCCAUCCCCAGCCCCGGGUCCGCAAAGGUUAGGGAGCGCAACAGAAGACCAAACGGGCUAACGGCAAGAUGGAGCAGGAGAGAACCCACUUACCCGGCAGGCGUGAGAAGAGUCAAGGUGUUUCUAAGCACACAGCUGAAAAUGGAGAACACGCUGGGGCUCCUGAGCAGGGGUUGGGGGCCAGAAACGAAGAGAGGCACUGACCAGCACUGUGUUCACAGUGGGGGAUGAAAUUUCAGAGAGAUCAUCUGGGCCCAAACCCACAGAUGAAAAAAAACUGAAGACCAGAGAGGCUGUAUAACUUGCCUAAGGUCAUAAAACUACUUAAUGAUGAAAAUUUAAAACCAAGUCUGUCUGACUCUAUAGCCGUGGUUCUCACUGUCUGGUCCCUAGACCAGCCAUAUCAGCACCUCCUGGGAACUCAUCAGAGACCUAAUGAGUCAGACAUCUGGGGGGCCCGGUGGAGCCAUCUGUGUCCUGGCAAGCCUGAAGGCGAUUCUACUGGACACUUCCGACCAAUAACUACAGUUCCAGCACGUUCACUUCAUCUCCACGCCAUGCUGCAUCUCCAACUUCCUGUUCUCCAAAUGCAAAACUCACCAUGGGGGAAGCAUCCAGAAACAGAGUUGGUUUUCACUUCUCCCUGCAGAUGCUCCCAGGGAGUUAAAGGUGACUCUUCACUCCAGACUCUAAAUUUGACCCCCUUUCAGGCGGCCACCCCAGGUUCAUUAUCACACCAAUCAGCCAACUGUUUUGAGUAGAAAUUCCUUUCCCACCCUGUAAGGAAUUCCAGGACACUGUCUAUGAAGAGGGAAAUCAUGGCUUGGCUAUUUGUUCAGGACACCCCUACCCUCUUCCAGACCAACAGCUCAUUGAGACACCACUUGAGAUACCACUUGACUACUGCCACCAGUCGACAUUUAUUGAUCGAGUACUGUGUCAGGUCCUCUGCUAGGCCCUUUCAGACACACUAUCUCAAUUAAUCCUUACAACAACCCAAGAGGUAGACACGAUUAUCAGCUCAUUUCAAAAAGGAGAAAACUGAGGCACAGAAUAAACAAUUUGCCUAACUUCAUCAGCUAAUUAAUUGCUGAGAUGAGACUUAAAUUCAGUUUGUCUCAAGAACCCCAUGGUCUUAUCCACUACGCCUUAUUGCCUGGUACGGGCCUUUGUCGAACAAGUCUUCUCUCGUGGUACACUCCAGGCCAACUCUCUGUGUUCCAGCUUGAGAGUCCUCUUUGCAGCCAUGUGAAUCCAGUGUCUUCCUCUCCCUAAUCCUCUAGGGCACCUCUGCCCAGCUUUCUUCCACCUCCACCACCCCCACCCACUCCCCUUCCCCCCCCACCACACACCUGGCCAUUUCUCUCUGGAGCUGUUUCCUACUAGCUGGGCUGUCACCUCCCAGACACUUUUCCUUCCUUCAGACCAGCUUUGUCUCCUCUAUGUGCUGUUCAGCAUGGAAUAAAUUCUAUCUUUUUCCAA
Non-coding RNA from Macaca mulatta (Rhesus monkey), 1482 nucleotides. The record is from RefSeq and is a predicted model, not a curated record. NCBI's taxonomy places the organism in Eukaryota, Metazoa, Chordata, Mammalia, Primates, Cercopithecidae.